AACGAACGCUGGCGGCAGGCCUAACACAUGCAAGUCGAGCGGACCCUUCGGGGUUAGCGGCGGACGGGUGAGUAACGCGUGGGAAUAUGCCCUUCUCUACGGAAUAGUCCUGGGAAACUGGGGGUAAUACCGUAUACGCCCUUUGGGGGAAAGAUUUAUCGGGGAAGGAUUAGCCCGCGUUGGAUUAGGUAGUUGGUGGGGUAAUGGCCUACCAAGCCGACGAUCCAUAGCUGGUCUGAGAGGAUGAUCAGCCACACUGGGACUGAGACACGGCCCAGACUCCUACGGGAGGCAGCAGUGGGGAAUCUUAGACAAUGGGGGCAACCCUGAUCUAGCCAUGCCGCGUGAGUGAUGAAGGCCUUAGGGUUGUAAAGCUCUUUCAGCUGGGAAGAUAAUGACGGUACCAGCAGAAGAAGCCCCGGCUAACUCCGUG
This 433-nucleotide ribosomal RNA is filed under the name uncultured bacterium. RNAcentral describes it as "partial 16S ribosomal RNA". It matches the Rfam family "Bacterial small subunit ribosomal RNA", at positions 29 to 507 of the family's 1533-position model. The record is from RNAcentral.